CUUAGGCGUGUGACUGCGUACCUUUUGUAUAAUGGGUCAGCGACUUAUAUUCUGUAGCAAGGUUAACCGAAUAGGGGAGCCGAAGGGAAACCGAGUCUUAACUGGGCGUUAAGUUGCAGGGUAUAGACCCGAAACCCGGUGAUCUAGCCAUGGGCAGGUUGAAGGUUGGGUAACACUAACUGGAGGACCGAACCGACUAAUGUUGAAAAAUUAGCGGAUGACUUGUGGCUGGGGGUGAAAGGCCAAUCAAACCGGGAGAUAGCUGGUUCUCCCCGAAAGCUAUUUAGGUAGCGCCUCGUGAAUUCAUCUCCGGGGGUAGAGCACUGUUUCGGCAAGGGGGUCAUCCCGACUUACCAACCCGAUGCAAACUGCGAAUACCGGAGAAUGUUAUCACGGGAGACACACGGCGGGUGCUAACGUCCGUCGUGAAGAGGGAAACAACCCAGACCGCCAGCUAAGGUCCCAAAGUCAUGGUUAAGUGGGAAACGAUGUGGGAAGGCCCAGACAGCCAGGAUGUUGGCUUAGAAGCAGCCAUCAUUUAAAGAAAGCGUAAUAGCUCACUGGUCGAGUCGGCCUGCGCGGAAGAUGUAACGGGGCUAAACCAUGCACCGAAGCUGCGGCAGCGACGCUGAUGCGUUGUUGGGUAGGGGAGCGUUC
This 657-nucleotide ribosomal RNA is filed under the name Escherichia coli. Its description in RNAcentral is "partial 23S ribosomal RNA". It matches the Rfam family "Bacterial large subunit ribosomal RNA", at positions 584 to 1241 of the family's 2925-position model. Lineage: Bacteria; Pseudomonadati; Pseudomonadota; Gammaproteobacteria; Enterobacterales; Enterobacteriaceae. The record is from RNAcentral.